RNAcentral lists this transfer RNA (73 nucleotides) under Candidatus Caldipriscus sp. RNAcentral describes it as "tRNA-Ala". It matches the Rfam family "tRNA". Rfam says of the family: Transfer RNA (tRNA) molecules are approximately 80 nucleotides in length. Their secondary structure includes four short double-helical elements and three loops (D, anti-codon, and T loops). The record is from RNAcentral. Lineage: Bacteria; Candidatus Caldipriscota.
GGGGCGGUAGCUCAGCUGGGAGAGCGCCUGAAUGGCAUUCAGGAGGUCGGGGGUUCGAAUCCCCUCCGCUCCA